UACGUAGGGCGCAAGCGUUGUCCGGAAUUAUUGGGCGUAAAGGGCGCGUAGGCGGCGACCCAAGUCAGAUGUGAAAGUCCUGGGCUUAACCUGGGGACUGCAUUUGAUACUGGGUUGCUUGAAUUCGGGAGAGGAUAGCGGAAUUCCCAGUGUAGAGGUGAAAUUCGUAGAUAUUGGGAAGAACACCGGUGGCGAAGGCGGCUAUCUGGACCGACAUUGACGCUGAGGCGCGAAAGCGUGGGGAGCAAACAGG
RNAcentral lists this ribosomal RNA (253 nucleotides) under uncultured bacterium. Its description in RNAcentral is "partial 16S ribosomal RNA". It matches the Rfam family "Bacterial small subunit ribosomal RNA", at positions 524 to 776 of the family's 1533-position model. The record is from RNAcentral.